UCAUGCUCACAUAUCAUGUCCAUACACCAUGUCCACUACUAUACGAUACAAACAACCAUAACAAAUAAACAUAACAUAACAUCCUUUAAAUCUUUACAUCAUCUUGCAUAAACAUACAUCAAGCCUCUCAUACAUAUACAUGCCACUCUAUCAACACCUAGCUAUGCUAUUACAUCCAAACACGGCAACCCAUGCUCAAACCACUCUGCUUUUCCCAUAGCUCACUCUGCUGAACUCUGGCCCUGC
This 246-nucleotide long non-coding RNA is filed under the name Manihot esculenta (cassava). Its description in RNAcentral is "long non-coding RNA (MESC_LNC011911)". The record is from RNAcentral. Lineage: Eukaryota; Viridiplantae; Streptophyta; Magnoliopsida; Malpighiales; Euphorbiaceae.